AUGGAUGUUCUGGGCGGCGAUCGAUUAGCAACAAGAGGAUUCUGGCUGAAUUGGAACACAGAGGAACUGAAGAUAAUUGCACAAUUCUGGAGAGGAGAGGAGAAGAGGAAGAAGCAAGCGGACUGGGAGAAUUCUCCAGGAGAUCAAUCGGCCGAACCGGGACGGGCAUGGGCGUCGACCAGAUCGCAGCAUCACCAUCACGACGCCCGGAUCCGCUUCUCGGCGGUCACGGGCAUGGGCAUCGACCGGAACACGGUGGAGAGGUCCCGCGGGACGGCGAGGCACACCCGCGCCGUCGUCGUCGCCGUCAGCGUCGGCCGCGACUUCCGCUUCAGCGCCGGAAGCCGGGGCACCGGCGGCUUGCGCGGCGCCGCUGGGCACUCCUCGGGCAGCAGGAUCCUGCACUCCUUCGACGUCGGCGUCGACGGGUCCUUCUCCUCCGCCGCCGCUGUGGCCUCCGUCUUGCCCUCCGCUGCCGCCGACUCCUGCGUGGACGACGCCGGCGACGGCGAGGCCGAGGCAGCGUCGGAGGGGGCCAAAGGCGCCGUCUUGAUCGGCGGCAGCGACGGCAGGGACUCGUCGGCGGAGGAGGCCAUUGCUGUCGGCCGGAUCGGCGGUGAAAUUCGCGGCGCGAGUGGGUGUGGAAGGAAUGGGAUCGAAUUCUUGUUCUCUGGUGGGUGCAGGAGGUGGGUCAAAAAAAGAAGCGAGGAAAGAGAGAGGUUGGGGCUGUAG
This 732-nucleotide ribosomal RNA is filed under the name Triticum aestivum (bread wheat). Its description in RNAcentral is "partial small subunit ribosomal RNA". Lineage: Eukaryota; Viridiplantae; Streptophyta; Magnoliopsida; Poales; Poaceae. The record is from RNAcentral.